This 533-nucleotide ribosomal RNA is filed under the name Campylobacter fetus. RNAcentral describes it as "bacterial SSU rRNA". It matches the Rfam family "Bacterial small subunit ribosomal RNA", at positions 31 to 576 of the family's 1533-position model. Lineage: Bacteria; Pseudomonadati; Campylobacterota; Epsilonproteobacteria; Campylobacterales; Campylobacteraceae. The record is from RNAcentral.
GAACGCUGGCGGCGUGCCUAAAUACAUGCAAGUCGAACGGAGUAUUAAGAGAGCUUGCUCUUUUAAUACUUAGUGGCGCACGGGUGAGUAAUGUAUAGUUAAUCUGCCCUACACUGGAGGACAACAGUUAGAAAUGACUGCUAAUACUCCAUACUCCUUCUUAACAUAAGUUAAGUCGGGAAAGUUUUUCGGUGUAGGAUGAGACUAUAUUGUAUCAGCUAGUUGGUAAGGUAAUGGCUUACCAAGGCUUUGACGCAUAACUGGUCUGAGAGGAUGAUCAGUCACACUGGAACUGAGACACGGUCCAGACUCCUACGGGAGGCAGCAGUAGGGAAUAUUGCUCAAUGGGGGAAACCCUGAAGCAGCAACGGCGCGUGGAGGAUGACACUUUUCGGAGCGUAAACUCCUUUUGUUAGGGAAGAACCAUGACGGUACCUAACGGAUAAGCACCGGCUAACUCCGUGCCAGCAGCCGCGGUAAUACGGAGGGUGCAAGCGUUACUCGGAAUCACUGGGCGUAAAGGACGCGUAGGG